This 492-nucleotide ribosomal RNA is filed under the name uncultured bacterium. Its description in RNAcentral is "partial 16S ribosomal RNA". It matches the Rfam family "Bacterial small subunit ribosomal RNA", at positions 29 to 507 of the family's 1533-position model. The record is from RNAcentral.
AUUGAACGCUGGCGGCAUGCUUUACACAUGCAAGUCGAACGGUAACAGGCCUUCGGGUGCUGACGAGUGGCGAACGGGUGAGUAAUGCAUCGGAACGUACCCAGAGGUGGGGGAUAACGCAGCGAAAGCUGUGCUAAUACCGCAUGUGAUCUGAGGAUGAAAGCGGGGGACCGAGCAGCAAUGUUUGGCCUCGCGCCUUUGGAGCGGCCGAUGUCGGAUUAGCUAGUUGGUGGGGUAAAGGCCUACCAAGGCGACGAUCCGUAGCUGGUCUGAGAGGACGACCAGCCACACUGGGACUGGGACACGGCCCAGACUCCUGCGGGAGGCAGCAGUGGGGAAUUUUGGACAAUGGGCGCAAGCCUGAUCCAGCAAUGCCGCGUGCGGGAAGAAGGCCUUCGGGUUGUAAACCGCUUUUGGCAGGAACGAAACGGUGUCCGCUAAUACCGGGCGCUAAUGACGGUACCUGCAGAAUAAGCACCGGCUAACUACGUG